Molecule: transfer RNA, 75 nt
Filed under: Actinomycetota bacterium
Lineage: Bacteria; Bacillati; Actinomycetota
Description: tRNA-Pro
Rfam family: tRNA
About the family: Transfer RNA (tRNA) molecules are approximately 80 nucleotides in length. Their secondary structure includes four short double-helical elements and three loops (D, anti-codon, and T loops).
Source: RNAcentral
CGGGGCGUAGCGCAGCCCGGUUAGCGCGCCUGCUUCGGCAGCAGGAGGUCCCGGGUUCAAAUCCCGGCGCCCCGA